This is a long non-coding RNA of Hipposideros armiger (great roundleaf bat), 276 nucleotides long. RefSeq lists it as uncharacterized. NCBI's taxonomy places the organism in Eukaryota, Metazoa, Chordata, Mammalia, Chiroptera, Hipposideridae. The transcript is spliced from 3 exons. The record is from RefSeq and is a predicted model, not a curated record.
ACGACGGGCGGUCACGUGACGGCCGCGCGCGUCCCCGGCCGCUGCGGGUUCCGAGGCCGAGGAGAAAAGACUGCGAGGCCACCGCAGCUGUGGCCAGAGAGCACAGGAUGAACCAGCAGUGAAAGAGAAAUUACUGCAAACUGGCUUGCUGCUGGUGAAGAUGAUGUUUUAUUUUUGUGACAAGCAUCUGUGGGAUUUGGAAUAGAAAUGAUGGCUAGCUGUGGUGAAAUUGAUCAUUCAAUAAACAUGCUUCCCACGAACAGGAAAGCGAAUGAG